CGCCCGGCCCCGCCCCUUCCCGCGCGCGACGGCGCUGAGGGGGCCGCGCGCCGCCUCCGGCCACCCCAGCGGCCUUCCCUCUGGGAAUCGCGGUUCCCUGUGCCCCUUAAACACGGAAAGCACAGGGCUGCAGCCUGUGCGGUCCCGCGGCUGCCUGGUGGGAAGGGAAGGUUUCUUCCUCGUGUUAAACUCCCCGCCGGCUCCCGGUGCCGCUGCGUCUGUGGGCGGGGCUGAGAGGAGCGCGGAGCGGGGGUGGAGCGAGUGAGGAGCUCCGCCAUGGGAAUGCUGUGGGAUGCUCGGUUUCAGCGUUUGCCUAGAUGCGUUCGACCUUAUCAACUUAAAAAUAUUACUUUCCAGGUACGAAUUGAACAAGACUUAGUUUAUUGGGGUUUUUUGGUGGCAUUCACGAUGUAAAUCAUUGAAAUAGCUAUUUCAAAUAAAAAUAUUUUGCAAGCACUGUGAAGUGCAGGUGGGGAGAACCUGGGAAAGCAGAAUGAAACAAUGUUUCCUUCAAUCCAUAGUAACACCAGGAAAAAAAAAAAAAAGGGUUAAGAGCCAUUUGGGUUUUUGGUCUGCCUUGGUGAAGGGAAUUUGCUACUUGGUCACACAACUUCAGACCUGUUACUACAGGGAGACCAAGGAAGAUGUUGCAACCAGCAGUGGCUGUCACCUGGAGGAAGCUCUGGCAGAGGUUAACAGAUGAGAUGUUUCUUGGUCAUGACUUCUGAAGACUUACAGCUGUACUGAGCUCCCAAGAGCCAAGGAUGCCCUCUUACCUUGUCUUUUAUCCUUUCUUGGAAGCAUCUAAAGGAAAACUGGGAACUGCAGUGAUACAUGAAGAAUUGACAGCUUUCCCAGCAGGAAGAUUGGCCUCUUCACAUUGGAAGACCUCUGGCUGUGGUGCUUGCAUUUCAGAGCCUUUCUACCUGUUUUUGACAAGCUGGGUGAAAUAUAUCAAAAUGUCACAAUCUGUUCUGAAGCAAAUCAGCUUCCUGGGAGCUUUACAACUAUUCAGGCUUAAGAUAAAUUGGAGGUGGCACAGAGUAGUGGAAGAGCAACAGUCUUUAGAAGCCCUCUCCAAAAUUAGAGUUUGUGAAAUACUCUCCAAACAUCUGCAUGAACAGUGCUACAUCAAUGUUCCAGCGGCCUGAUUGAAGAGAGUGUCCUUUAAUCUAAACCACGCUCCUUGGGAUUUCUUAAUGUAGUUAAUUCUUCAUUUUCUUUUUAUAUUUUGCCAGUGAGAAACUGCCUAGUGGUCUUUACCUCUGAGUCCUUUCCACUAACUGUUUCUUUUAGUCCUGGCAUGAUGCUGUACGUUUUCAUUGCACAGGGAUCUCCUCAAACAAAGGGAAAUUAUGAAACUGUCAGAUCAGAUUUCAUAUAUUGCUCUUGGCAUUGCACUCACUAGACCUCGUACAAAGUGAAUUUUGAAAGCCUCUGAUCUUUUAUAACCAUUUCCAGUCUUAAACAUACUUUUAAACAUUUAAAAGUUCCUCAUCUGCAGUCACUGGGAAUAUGAGUAUGAAAGCUGAGGUAAUUUGGAUAUUUUCUUUCUGCAAAGACAGAGAGAGUGAUCCAUUACAUCCAUAAAUCAUUUCCAAUGUUUCAUUAUUCUUUCUGCUAUAGUUCUUAUUGUUUUAUUAAGACUCCGAAUGUAUUUCAUUCACUUUUGUUUUUUCUCUUUCCUGCUAGGGAUAUAUGUUGCUAAAAUCAAGGUGCCUAGAUGUGCAUGUGGGAACAAACACUGACAGCGGGUUCAGAGUGGUGAGCUCUGCUGGGUCUUGUGGUACCAUAAACCAGACACAUCAAGGACACAAAAUCCUUUCUCUCCUCCCAAGCUGCUGUGUCAGUCUGGAAGCCUAACGACCAUGCAUUAGCACCUCAGUUAUUAACCAGCCUGUGGGCUGGGAGAAGUGUGAAUUUUCUUCACUGAUGUGUUCCUUCUCAGUUCAGGGAAAUCAACCAAACCGAAGAAAUGCUGACCUUUUGAGAAUUAGCUAGAAGAUCCCUUGACACAAAAUCCUGUAAGUUUAUUUGUACAGGAAUUCCCUUGGCCAACUCAAAAAGCCAGACAGAGGAUUCCUAGAGCUGAAAGCAUGAGCCAUGACAACAACAGUCUGAAUUAAGUGAAAAUGCUGAACUUACCAGAGAACACAAACAGACAGCAAUUCCAAGUUACUUGUGGCAUUGUAACUCAGCAGUUGCUUCACAGAUCAGUCACACACAGCUUCUUUGGGAAAGAGUAAGUUUGCUGAAAACAACUGGCAGAGAUGACAGGUUAUUCAAAUGUCUUUUCUGAAUGCCAACAAAACAGAAGCAUACUACCUUUAAUGCUUGUGUUAUAAACAACUUGCAUCCACUUCUGAAUCCCCUCACACAUCUCCUUCACUCAUAUGAACACUUUAAACAGGGAGCUACUCUGUAAAUCUCUCAAAAACUUCUAAUUGCACUUUCCUUAUCUGUACAAUUCACAGCCAAGUCAGAGUAGAAUAUCUGUGUACCUUUGUUACAAAUACAGUAGACUUUUUGAUUGCAGCUGCCACUGUUUCCAAACCAAUUCCUUAGCAGCCUUUCCAUCCUGACAAGAUGAGUAACUUUCUUAGAAGGAUUAUUUUUAUCCUUUCUGUUUUUCAGUUCCUUUCCAUUUUUCUUGGCUGCCUACUUGACUGCACAGCCUACUGCUCCGUUCCCUCUACCUUCCAGAGCUCAGAUUCAAGUCCUUGCUUGUCUGCAUACCAAGUGUUGGUCUCCUACCCCAGCGUUUCUUUUGACUGAUCUUGUUAUCAGCUCAUAGCCUGAUAUUUUUAAAUUUCAGGUAGUAUAUUCAAGUGACAUAUUGUAUUUCAAUGUAGCUAUGUUCAUUAAUGUUUAGAACUUCGUACAUGAUCCUGAAACGGUGAGUAGAGUUUCCUUCACUUUUUAUCUUCAUCAUGAUGACCUUUCCUACCUCUAUUCAGUGUUUGGUUUAUUUUAAAUCAGAUGGCUGUUUCUUCUCUCCAUACUGAAAUACCAUUGGUGUAUUGGUGUUAAGUCUUGUAAGUUCAAGAGCUUCUCCAGCCCAAUGAUAUACCAAGAGUAUGGCUGGGUUGAGUUGGGACAUUAUAUAUUGGGAAUAAAUCCUUGUGGGUUCCCUUGAGAAGAGACUCUGAUGGUCUCUUUCUUAUUUUAGAGAAAUUCGAAAUUUAGCUCAGCUGUUUUUCCUCCACUGGAAAGAUAUGUGUAAUGUCUCUGAGAAAAGGACAUUAAAACAUUUUUCCUUAAUAAGGUUUGUGGAUAACAUUGCCUACACUGGUCUUAACAACAAGCAUAAAGAGGCCAUUGCCUAGAGAAACUCUGCAACUCAUUAGUUAGUUUAUCUUUCCUUCAAAGAAGGAAAAGCAAAAAUCUGACUGAUAUGCCCAUCCAAUGCUCUGUGAAAAAAAACAACUCUGCAGCCAGACCAUUCCUUCACUCACAACAAAGCCAAACAAAGAGAACUCAUGCAUUAACUUUUUCGAUUUUCAAAGAAGAAAUCCUAUAAUUGAACUAAGAAAUGUUUUAGAUCUAGAAAAUGGGAUACUUUUUCUUUUGGAGGCAAAAAAUCAGAGCACCAAAGAAAGGACAGUGCACAGAAAUAGGGCAAGUUUAUCAGUGAGUGUAGUGUGGAGGAAAGUAGUCAUUAAUUAAUAAAAAGGAAGUGUUUUAGGGGAGUAUUCAGGUGUUUAACAGAAGCUUUGCUCUAAGUGACAUGGGCAGAAAAUCUGCGAGGUUUUCUCAGAGUGGUUCACCUGGUGAUCAAGCACAUCAAGGAAGCUGCUGCACAGCACCAAGUUCAGGAUGGAGAUUAUUGCACCACUUAACCUUAUCCUCAGGUCAGGCCCUCCUUGAUCCAUUAGCUGUCAUUUGGUUUCUUCCCACUCUCAGAAACCCUUGAGAUGAUCUGAAAAUAAAAGGGCCUGUUGUGCAUGGCUGGAGCUUUGAUUUCCUGAAAUUCAGCAAAGCAGGGCAGCCCGAGAGCACUGUGGCAUUGCUGUGGCAUGGCAGGGGCAGCCCUGGGAUCUGGGACCCCACCUCUUGUUGUUGGGACUUCUGUCGUGGUAUUGGCUGGUAAAAGCAAUAAUUUCAACUCCCAGAAGUAAGAUUCUCACAAAAUAAUCAGUGAACUGAAUUCUAUUUCAUUUUUUAACAUUUUUUGGAAGUGCUCCACUACAGUUUAGAAAAAGAAGAAGGGAAAGAGUUACCUAAAAGAAAAGCUGAACAACAAGGCACAGGGGAACACGUGGCCAGCACACGUUGCUCUUAAGCUAUUUUCAGCUGGAGUAUGGGUCUCAGAAGUAUGGCAUAGAUUCCAGUAUCCUGACAGUGUCUUAGUUUACUCUGGGCUCCUCAUAUAGAAUUCUCUUAAGUGGAUAGUGAAGGAAAAAAGCUUUUGUUUAAGUAAAAUACUGCUUUGCUUUGCUUUCAUGGUUUAAGACAUUUUAUCACUAGAGGUGGUCUUUAAUAUGUUCCUUAAACUGUAACUCUUGGGACCACCUCAUUCCUUACAGCUCUUCCUCUGAGCAGGAAUGUUGCAGCAUAGCACAGCUCAGCACUACACACUCCAUUAAAGGAGCUUGUAUAGCAUCCUGUAGGCCUAGAGGUCCAGCAGGAACCUUUGGCAGACACAAAAGUACUUUGGAAAACUGUGGGAAUGCUGAUGACCUGACAGUGAUUUAUAUUAUUGCAUUAGAAAAAUAAAUAGUAUGGCAGAACCUGUCAGGGUGGAUAAAACAAAGAUUUGCCAGUAACUCUGCUGUGCAGCUUUCCAAACUACUAGCCUGCUGGUUAGCCCAGGCCUCUACUUUAUCCAAACCCUCAUAAAAAUUUAUUGCAGAUGGGUACUAAGAACCUUGAGGAAAAUCUUUUGCUGUUUCAACAGCAUCUCUGCCUUAUGAUAGUCUCGCAGUAACUUCCACCCCCCGCCCCCCCCAGCAGAAGAGAUUUUCUCCAGCCCAACAUGGUUUAAUCCUCCAUUACAAAUGACAAAGGAAAGAAUUUAUCGGCCUAUCUGGGAUAGCCAAGGGAUGAAGUACCAGAAGCUGUGUAUGAACAAGAGAGACUUAAAUCACACUUGGAAUUGCAGGCAUAGUUUCAGCUGCUGUGCAAAGAGCCCUGUUCUCAGCCCAGGUACUAUUUUGCUCUGAGGCCUGAUGGUAACUAACUGCCCCAUAUAUCAAAACAAGACAGUUUUGUGUGAUUUGGCUUCUCCUCUGCUGUGUGUUCAUCAAUAUAUCAGAAAGCAGACCUGGACAGCAGUGUGAUUUGGAGCUACCUGAAGGCUGGAGCAGUGGGGCAGUGCAAAGGCACGCUGGGGACCAGGACUUGGCCAGUGCCACAUCCUUUUGUACCCGUCACUGAACAGAAAGGCUCAGCUCCCAGCUCAGCUGGACUCGCCGUGCCAAUAAAUCUCCUCUCGCAGAGGCAGUCCCAGCACAGAUCUGGCACUGGGAGCCAUGCUCUUGUUUCCCAUUAAUGUGUUCACAGGUGCCAAGGGAGCUGCAGUCAGCACCAUCCAGGGGUAGCCUGCGCAUCCUGCCGGCAGCCCUGAGGCAGGAGCUGAGCGGAGGGAGCGGUGCCAGUGCCUGCAGCAGCUCCGAGGGCUGAGGGAGCAAAGAGAGCUGGUGAGUGGCCUGUGCUGGUCUGUGCUCACAUGCCAUGGCCCGGCUUGGCACAAAGCCAGCCCUGGCAGGGAACAAACCCCAGCCCAGGCUCUGAGGGAGAUCAGCUGUGCCUUAGCUGAUGAUGUGCCGGCGGUACCUUAGAGAGACAUGGUCCCAAUACCCUGUGUCCCUUUGACCCUGACUUGUUAACACUUAAAGAUGACCAGUCUAAACCUUACUGACCUCAAAAGGCCUGCACAGACUCAGGAUGGGCACCAGAGUAGUUCAUUUGCAGAGCCAUGCUCUUGCCUAGCCAGAUGUAUAUCAUUAUGUGUCAUCACAGAGCUAGGAGUUAAAGACUGACACGGUAAUUUAGUCUGGGAUAACAUGGAAAAUAAGGCUUUUUAAACAUGGAAAAAACAUGACAAGCGUGUACAAGCAUUUUGAGAACUGAUUGGCAUUCCAUCAUGAAUAAUAUGAGAAUAAAUUUUCUUACUAAAAAUAUUGAAAAGUAUAAAAUCUCCUUGUUUAAUGGCAAGCAAUAAGACAAGUGCAAGAGUUAACCAAGUAUCUGAUUCAGUUAUACAUGUCCUGAAUCAA
Long non-coding RNA from Corvus hawaiiensis (hawaiian crow), 6218 nucleotides. RefSeq lists it as uncharacterized. NCBI's taxonomy places the organism in Eukaryota, Metazoa, Chordata, Aves, Passeriformes, Corvidae. The record is from RefSeq and is a predicted model, not a curated record. The transcript has 5 exons.